This 512-nucleotide ribosomal RNA is filed under the name Chlorogomphus yokoii. RNAcentral describes it as "partial 16S ribosomal RNA". It matches the Rfam family "Bacterial large subunit ribosomal RNA", at positions 1819 to 2597 of the family's 2925-position model. Lineage: Eukaryota; Metazoa; Arthropoda; Insecta; Odonata; Chlorogomphidae. The record is from RNAcentral.
GUCUUCUUGAUUAUAUAGGAAGUCUGACCUGCCCGGUGAAUAAGUAUUUAACGGCCGCGGUAUUUUGACCGUGCAAAGGUAGCAUAAUCAUUAGUCUUUUAAUAGAGGGCUGGAAUGAAGGGUUUGACGAAAUGCUUACUGUCUCAUUUAAUUUGGAAUUUGAAUUUGACUUUUUAGUUAAAAGGCUAAAUUGUUAUUGGAAGACGAGAAGACCCUAUAGAGCUUUAUAUUUUAAAAUUUAAAAAGUUUUUGAAUAAUUAUUAUUUUUUAAAUGGAAAAAUAUUUUGUUGGGGUGACAAAAAUAUAUAACAAACUUUUUUAUAAAAAUAACAUUGAUAUAUGAUUAUUAGAUCCAUUAUUAUUGAUUGUUAGAGAAAGUUACCUUAGGGAUAACAGCGUAAUCUUCCUCCAGAGUUCAAAUUUACAGGAAGGCUUGCGACCUCGAUGUUGGAUUAAGAUAAUAAUUAGGUGCAGCUGCUUAAUUAAUAGGUCUGUUCGACCUUUAAUUUCUU